RNAcentral lists this ribosomal RNA (301 nucleotides) under uncultured bacterium. RNAcentral's name for it is "partial 16S ribosomal RNA". It matches the Rfam family "Bacterial small subunit ribosomal RNA", at positions 509 to 807 of the family's 1533-position model. The record is from RNAcentral.
CAGUAGCCGCGGGAAUACGUAGGGUGCAAGCGUUAAUCGGAAUUGCUGGGCGUAAAGCGUGCGCAGGUGGUUUUGUAAGUCUGUCGUGAAAUCCCCGGGCUCAACCUGGGAAUGGCGAUGGAGACUGCAAGGCUAGAAUCUGGCAGAGGGGGGUAGAAUUCCACGUGUAGCAGUGAAAUGCGUAGAUAUGUGGAGGAACACCGAUGGCGAAGGCAGCCCCCUGGGCUAAGAUUGACGCUCAUGCACGAAAGCGUGGGGAGCAAACAGGAUUAGAUACCCCCGUAGUCCCUGUCUCUUAUAC